This 354-nucleotide ribosomal RNA is filed under the name Cephalops subultimus. RNAcentral's name for it is "partial 12S ribosomal RNA". The record is from RNAcentral. Lineage: Eukaryota; Metazoa; Arthropoda; Insecta; Diptera; Pipunculidae.
AAAAAUUUAAAUAAAAAUAUUAAAGUAGUAAUAGUUAAGUUCUUGAAAUUUAAAAAAUUUGGCGGUAUUUUAGUCUAUUCAGAGGAACCUGUUUUGUAAUCGAUAGUCCACGUUGUACCUUACUUAAAUUUAUUUUUUAGUUUAUAUAUCGUUGUUUAUAGAAUAUUUUAUAAAAAAAAUAAUUUUCUGAAAUUUUUAUAUAAAAAUAUAUCAGAUCAAGAUGUAGCUUAUAUUUAAGUUUAUAAUGGGUUACAAUAAAUUUAUUUUUGGAUAUAAAAUUUAAAUAUUUUAAUGAAAUUGGAUUUGAUAGUAAAUUUAUAUAGAUAAAUAAAUUGAUUUUAGCUCUAAAAUAUG